GAGGCGGCGCCGGAGAAGCAAUCGCCGUCGCUCGACGAUUGCCUCAAGCUGUUGAGAGGCGAGAGAGACGAGCAGCGCCUGGCCGGCCUGCUCUUGGUGACCAAGUUCUGCAAAGGGGACGACCUCGCUUCGCUGCGCAGGGUUUACGACGCCGUCGGGGCGCAAUUCCUCGACCGCCUCCUCAGAACCGGUAAUUUUGGGUGACGCCUUGGUUGUUUUUCGGUUCUGUCGUUAGUGGGAGUCGCGCAGCCAUGACUUGGCUAAAAGAAUUACCUUUCCGAUUGGCUAUUUGACCUGCGAGAUGGCAUGUUCAAGUGAAUAUCAGCAUUCUGGGAAUGGUAGGCAGUGCUUCGAGGAACACGCGAGUUCCGAGCGACAUGAAUUAACUUGUGUCAGCAUAUAAGUCUAAUAACAUGUUACCGGCGAUAAUGACGUAGUAGAUUUAACUGUGCAGAAAAGAUUUUUCUACACUACGAUCCCUAUAUGAUGACAGAAGCGGUUUGAAUAUGUGAAGGUUGUUAAUUUUUAUUGUGACUUGCUUCUUUGGCAAGCAAUGAAGAGAUGCUAUAAGCUCUCAUGGUUUGUUAUAUGGCAAAGAGAAUCCUUUAUGAGUAGCAAGUCCCCAAGCUUGCUGACAGUGAUGAGAAAUGAAUACGUGACUCUUGCGCUUAAGUGAUUGUGUGGCUCUUUGGGGUGGGGAUUUGCUGAAAAAAAAUUGAAUGGACUAUCAGUUUGCAUUGGUGGAGCUCUUUCUCCCUAUUGAAGCAUCAGUAAGAGAGGAAUGGCAUGGUGAAAUUGAUAGUAACUGUAUAGGCAUCAGUUUCGGUAAUUUGAACCUCACCUAUUGCAAGGCAUUUCUGUUUCAGUUGGCUACAUGAAGCUCUUGUCUUUGAGUACCUCUGACAGUUCUGUUGAUGGAACCAUUGUGGCUGAUGGAGUUUCUAUAGUCUAAGUGCCGAAAGAUCUCCUUAAGCUUUCAGUUUAGUUAUAUGCCCCUUGAAUUAUAGCGUUGAAUGUGGUCCGGUCUUGUAAAAACCUCUUCAAUUGGAUUGUCAUGGCUGCUUCUGAGGAUAUUGAAGCACCUUUCUCAAGUGAGUCUAAUGACAGUUGGUGUCUGCACUGUAAUACUUUAUUAAUGUAAGUCAAUGCAAAGUUCAAUUGGAAUCAAGCAAAAAUCUCAUAUUAUGGUCUUUUAAAGUCAUGCCUAGAAGUACAGGCUUCUAAAGUGACUUAAUGAGUGGGUAGCAGAGCAGUAAAAAGUAAACAAAUUGCAGGCUUUUACAGCAUGUACUUCUGAGUCUUUUGCUGAUUUUCGAUGGUACAUUGUAGCAACUUAAGAAGCCAGUACUGAUGAGUUUGAAAGCUCAUACUUCUAUAUGUGACUUCUCAAGGCAGAGAUUUAGCUUGUCAUUCAAUUUGGAAUCUUGGAGCUUUAGAUAUAACAUUGUUGAAUUAUAUUUGACAUGUGUAGAACUUUUCGUGGUAAUUUAUUAUGAUAUUAUGUUUACUUGGUAUAUGAAAGGACCACCAAUAUCUCAAUUCUGACCAGAUGUAAUAAGUAUUAGCAAUCCUGGACCGUAUGUUUUGUGCAGACCUUAACUCACUUUCAUAUGCUGAAUACUAAGUAGUUUGAUUUCAUUAAGUAGGGCAUACCAAAAUCAUAUCAAUUGGAAAUUCUUUCAUGGUUGAACUUUCUUUCUUGGCCUUGAUAUUCUCACAAUAUUUGUCUCCUCAUUUGGUAUUCUCAUAAUUUCUCCUAUCUGGGAAGGAAUGGGACAAGGAUCUACUGAAGGCAGUGACAAUCGCGAUGCAUACUUGCAGCUUUCGGUAACAGUUUUGGCUGCAUUCUGCCGUGUUACUGAGAUUGCUGCUUCUAAUGAAAUGGUUUCAAAAAUUCCUCUCAUACUUGAGAUUCUGCCAAACAAGUAAGGUUCUCUUUCUUAACUUAACAAUUAUACAUUUUAAGAAUUUUAAGUAGAGAAGUUAGUGGACUCCUCAUAAUAAUUUGCUCUUGAUUUAUAUGAUAAUUGUGAAUAAUAGUUAUCUUUGGUAUUACCUUGGAAAUGUAUUAAGAGCUGCUCGUUAAUGUAGUCACCACGAUUGUGUGUUAGGUCUUUGCAGAGCCAAAAAAAAACAAGAAUCUAACAGAGGUAGCUACUUAGCUAGCUACCGUUUCUGGGUGAAACUUACAGUGAUUGAUCCUGACAUUUUUCUUUCGGUUGUGCUUUUAGUGCUUUAUUGAUUUUUAAUAUAUCAAAUACAGAUCUGGUUCACCUGUACUUGAAGAAUGUUAUGAAUUUUUAUAUCUAGUGCUCUCUGCAAAUGAAGAUGGAGUUGUUUCUUUCUUUGAAUCUGGAGGCUUGAAGGUGCUAGCCCCUCAAAUGUCUACAUUUGCAGAUGGUAAAUAUUCUCACCUUGACUGGAUUUUUCUGACAAGUAGUUAAGAAUAGCUACGACUAUCAAUUUUUGUGGUCAUAUUGUGUUUCCAGUGGGGACUUUUGUAUUCACCAGUGAAAUUAUUUUGCCUUUUGUGGAUUUUUCUGUGAUUGACACCAUUUGAGUAUAUUUCUACAAUAUUUUAUCCGAUAUUUUCUGGACAAAAUAUGUUAUAUGUUUACUUAUGGAUUGGGAAUGGAUCUUCUGUCAGAGAUUAAUUUAACCCAAAUUCUUGGCAGGUUCUCGUGCAAUGGAGCUAGCCAUGAAACUUGUGCAAUUGUCGCUGGGAAAGCUGUCUCUGGGCUUUAUUAGCAAUGCUUAUCUUGAGGACCUUUCAAUAAUUGUGAGUUUUGAUUUGUAUUGAGUCCUUUUUUAUUGAGUUUGUCAAUCUAUAUGAUUCUGCUCUUGGAGAUCAGUAAUAGAGUAAUCUCUUCUGAAAGCAGGUUGCUGCCAUAGCGAGGCAAUUUGCUGUCCUCCACAAUGCAUUAAAAUUUGAAGCGCUGCAUAUACUAUCAGCUAUCUUCUCUUCAGAACUUUCGGUUUGUAUUUUCCUCUUAAAAUGUGUCGUUUUUACCUUGCCUGGAAACAAUAAUUCCUUUGUGUGCUUCUGUGUCCAUUAUAUGUUUUCAUUAUGGGAGUAACUGUUUGUGUUGAAUUAAUGAUGGAUGGACCAUGCCCUGUUUAUUAUUUUGAUGUGGGAAUUGGAUGCAGAAUGUGGUGCUUAGUUUGACAGUAUUAGAUUUGGAUAAAUGCACAAGAAGUUCUGAAACUUGUGUCUGAAAUGCAAUUCAGUUCUACAACUUUUCAAAUAGCCAAUCAAAUCCUUAAUUUUGAAAAGAAAAUUAAAUUUAAGAAAUUGAGUCCUUUCAUUACUUCUGUUAGUUAAAUAUGAGGAGAUCCUGGUGGCACUUGAAUGAAAAUUCUUUUCCAACCUCUAGUUGGACAAAAAGAUCCAUUUCUUCGGGAAAUGGAUAUCUUAUUGGUCAAAUGUAAUAAAAAUUUCAAGCUUUGUUUGUAGUUAAACAUGCUUCAUCAAGACUANNNNNNNNNNNNNNNNNNNNNNNNNNNNNNNNNNNNNNNNNNNNNNNNNNNNNNNNNNNNNNNNNNNNNNNNNNNNNNNNNNNNNNNNNNNNNNNNNNNNGAAGUAAACUUCACUUCCAUCGAUCUAAUAUGAUAUCGACAGACCCUAAAUAUCUAGUAUGAUAAUACUCUAAUGAAAUAAGAUAUCUUUUCGUACAAAAGUAUGCUUUCCCAAAUGCACAAAGAGAGUCAAUUUUCAAAUAAUAUCAACAAUAGCAUAAUAAUUAAGAGAUCUCAACUCAUUUCUCAUGUCAAACAUUGUAGUCACUUUUUGCUGGUGACAAAACUGGAAAUCGCAUCAAUCACGGUUAAGCCAAAAAAAAUUAAAUUGAUGGCGCAAGCGCAAAACGGCAGUGGUCUAUGCACACAUUAAUUAUUCGUAGCGUGUUAUUAUUAUGUUGGUCAAUCAUGAACAUAAAUCCAGAAACAUUCAACAACUCAAAUAAUUAAGUUUUUGACAAUAAUUUAUAUCCUUUGAGAAACAUUCCCAUGAUUAAUAAUGUUUUAUUUACCAUAAGAAAAUAUCAUGGAAAAAUUCAUUUGAGUAUAAGGCGAAAUUUUCAUUAUAUAAAUAACUUCCGCACCAUUAAGAGGAUUCUUUCGCUUGGAUAAUUGCUGGGAAGAUUUCAUGAAAACAAUUAAUUACUUUCAAAUUGUCUGUGGUUAUUGUGGUAGUACCAUCAAUAUAUAACCUCCGCCACACCAUGCUCUCUCUAUAUAAAUUAUACAAAGUGUGUAAUAUUGGAGAAAUUUAAUGUGAUGGUUACUCUGAAUAUAAUAUUCAAAGACAUAUCACAUACUAGCAAAAAUGUACAGGCAUUUCGUGUAUGUAAGAAAGAGACAUUUAAUAUUUUUUGCUAAAAAAAGCCUAUAUGAAAAUAUUUGAUAUAACAAAUUGAUAGAAAUACAAUAGGAAAUAUUUCAAAUAAAUACUUGAAAUGAGAUGGUUCUCUCUUGAGAGCAAAUUCCACUCACGUGUUCCUUCAAGACUUGGAAGGCAUUUUUGUGCAUGGACUUUCUUUUUUUGGGUUUUUUUUCUUCUUUUUCUUCUCUCUCCUCUUCUUUUUCCCACAACAUAGGUGAGUAGAGUUCCGAGAUAAAAUCGAGAACCGGAUAGGUGGGAACUGAUCCAAUUUUAGUUUGGGUAUGUAUGAUAAGUUUCAAAUUCAAAAAAAAUUAAAGAAUUGGUUCCAAUGGAUAGCUUUCGGAUUCUUAUAAUCCGGAAUCUAGAAUAAGUUUUUAUCUUUUUGCGAUAUUUCAUGGAAUUCAAUGAUAAAUAUGUAACUUGGACCUACCAUUCUGAGUUUUCAUUUUCGGCGAUAUACAUAACUAAGACUUUUGCUUUGUUAAAUAUGAAUUGUGGUCAUGGAUUGUUGUAGCAAAUGGUGAUUAUUAGAGAUAACGAUACACUGCAAUCAAUGGUACCGGGUCCAUGCCCUUGUCCUUGAUGCCCGAAUUCCCUCGCUGCCCUUGUGAUCUUCGUCCCCGCGUCAUCUUCAUUGAUCUUGUGAGUGCUGAGUAAAGCUAUCUAUCUCCUUAGAGCAAGCAUUGCAGACCGGACACGCAAGCACUCGGUGCUUCUCGACGUGAGCCGUGAGUCGGCCCAUGACGCAACAGAAGCCAUGAAAAUGGCGACCCCUUGCCCUGUACUCACACCCUGCGAGAUUCCACAUCUGGCCUACAAUCAGAGUGACAAAAAGGCAACUGAAACCAAAAUUAGAAAAGAGAUAAUUAUACAAAUAGUUUUCAAACCUUGGUCAAUUUACAGUGUCGCUUUUUAAUUUUUUAAUUUAUUAAAUAUGAUUUUAAAAUUUGACUUAAUGUGUAAUGUCGUUCCUAACAUUUUUAAUUUAUUUGAUACGAUUCCUAAAUUUGCAGUAUAUAAUAUAAUUCCUAUACUAUGUGAAAAUAUUUAAUAUUAUCUUUUAAUUGAUUCAAGUUUAGAGACAAUAUUGAAUAUUUUUACAAGUUCAAAUAUUAAACUAAACAUAAACUAAAAGUUCAAAAAUCACAUUGAACAUAUUAAAAAUUCAAGAAUGAUAUUGUACAUUAUGCUAAAGUUUAGAGGUUAUUUUUGUUAUUUUUCCUUUGAAAAACAUUACAUCGCAAGAAUGGGUGCAAUAAUGAGAGGAUUGCUUACUCCAGAAAAAAGAUUUUCACUUGUCUCAAUGUAAGAUACAAAAUAUUGAAAAAUUAAAAUUAGAAUAGGUGAGAGAAAAAGCAGAAUUAUUAUAUUUUAUUUAGGGACAUAAUCUGUAAGGUAAACAAUUAAGAUUAUAUGAGAAAGAAAAAGGGAUUGAGACUAUAAAAAAAAGGUGGGAGAUUCUCUUACUUUAGAUAAGAAAAAUGUAUAUUUUUUUAUUAAAAUUUUAAAAAAUUACUUCACUUAUUAAUGACAGUUAAUAAGAUUGCAGAAAAUUCCAUGCACGUGAAAAAUUGACAGUUAAAAGGUUUUGUAAGAUUGUCGAUUGAUUGUAAGAUAUUAUUGAUAGUGUACGAAUGAUACUUUACAAAUACACGUGAAAAGAGAAAAGAUGUUUUCUCAAUUGAAUUUUUUAGUAGGGUUUUGUUGUGAUAUGAAAAACAGUCGAAUCUUAAAAUUAAGGUAUGUGCAAAAUAAGAUUGGAUUAUUAAUUUAUAUAUUAAUAAUCCAAUUCAUCGAAUAUGAUUUCAUUUCCUCACCGCGCGGUGUAGUUUAGACUGCUCUCGAAGCGUCUCUGCUCUCUACUCAACCGGUGGGAAGCGGAAGCGGAAGCGGAAGCAAGCCAGGAAAUCGAAAUAUCCGCCGAGCAAAUUCGCCAAAUUCUCCCUCCCGACGUUUUCAUCGUGCGUCCGGAGCUCGACCCUCGAUUCCUUCUGUUCAGAUGGUGAGCAGCGCCAGCUUCUUUGUGGCAUUUCAUCGAACGGUCAAGUUGCGGUCUUGGUGCAUGGCCAGAAAGUGAGGGAAGUUAACGUUUUGAUGCUGAUGCUAUACUGCGAUUUUGCAGGAGGCGGCGCCGGAGAAGCAAUCGCCGUCGCUCGACGAUUGCCUCAAGCUGUUGAGAGGAGAGAGAGACGAGCAGCGCCUGGCCGGCCUGCUCUUGGUGACCAAGUUCUGCAAAGGGGACGACCUCGCUUCGCUGCGCAGGGUUUACGACGCCGUCGGGGCGCAAUUCCUCGACCGCCUCCUCAGAACCGGUAAUUUUGGGUGACGCCUUCGUUGUUUUUCGGUUCUGUCGUUAGUGGGAGUCGCGCAGUCAUGAUUUGGCUAAAGGAAUUGCCUUUCCGAUUGGCUAUUUGACCUGCGAGAUGGCGUGUUCAAGUGAAUAUCAGCAUUUUGGGAAUGGUAGGCAGUGCUUCGAGUAACGCGCGAGUUCCGGGUGACAUGA
This 6884-nucleotide long non-coding RNA is filed under the name Eucalyptus grandis. RNAcentral describes it as "long non-coding RNA (EGRA_LNC001509)". The record is from RNAcentral. Lineage: Eukaryota; Viridiplantae; Streptophyta; Magnoliopsida; Myrtales; Myrtaceae.